AGCCUUAGUAAUAUUAAUUUUUAAAAAGUUGUUUAGCUACAUUCUUCCGAUGACUAGCAUAAUGACUGCAUAAGACAGAGAGAGAGGGCGAGCAGAGACAGUGUGUGUCAGCCUGUAGGAAGUUAGGACCAUAAAGGAAGUGGGGAGGGGUCUAGCAAAGACAGCAUCAUCAUCUCUGAGGACUCCUGGAAUGGUUCAGGGCAGUUCAGUUGGACACAAGUUUGCCUCGGAGUGUUUUCCUUUUGUCAAUAAUUAAUCACUGGAAUCAACCUGGCAAGACUGGAGUUUUAACAACAGUGCAGAGGGUGAGUCAGAAGAAACACCUCGGGCUGAUAAAUCCAUCGGUAACUCCAAGCAGCAGGAAGCCAGUGUCCACACUGCUCAUCAGCCCACAGGGUCAUCCACUCCGAACAAGAGGUCCA
Molecule: long non-coding RNA, 422 nt
Filed under: Vombatus ursinus (common wombat)
Lineage: Eukaryota; Metazoa; Chordata; Mammalia; Diprotodontia; Vombatidae
Description: lncRNA (ENSVURG00010013671.1)
Source: RNAcentral